RNAcentral lists this ribosomal RNA (422 nucleotides) under uncultured bacterium. RNAcentral's name for it is "bacterial SSU rRNA". It matches the Rfam family "Bacterial small subunit ribosomal RNA", at positions 111 to 518 of the family's 1533-position model. The record is from RNAcentral.
UAACACGUGGACAAUCCUGCCCCCCGGCCCGGGAUAGCCCAGGGAAACCUGGAUUAAUACCGGAGUGAGACGGGACCCGCGAAGGCGGGACCCGGGAAAGGCGCUGCGGCGCCGCCGGGGGAUGAGUCUGCGUCCCAUUAGCUAGACGCGGGGUAAGGCCCACCGUGGCGACGAUGGGUAGCCGGCCUGAGAGGGUGGACGGCCACAUUGGAACUGAGACACGGUCCAGACUCCUACGGGAGGCAGCAGCUAAGAAUCUUCCGCAAUGGGCGAAAGCCUGACGGAGCGACGCCCGCGUGAACGAAGAAGGCCGUGAGGUUGUAAAGUUCUUUUUCGGGAGGGGGAACAACCGUGGCAGGGAAUGGCCGCGGGAUGACGUGAAUCCCGGAAUAAGCCCCGGCUAACUACGUGCCAGCCGCAGC